AUGGCCAUUGAAUCACGCCAGUCAUCUUCAUCUCAAGCAACUACUCCCGCAUGCACCCCCAUCUCAAGCAACUACUCCCGCAUGCACCCCGCAUUGCCAAAAGGAAAAAAAAACACCACGCUGCCACGCUCUGCAGCGCCAACACCGGGCGCGCCGGCGGUCCUCCAUCGCAGCUCCGGCCAUGCUCCAUUGCAGCAGCGACAUCGGCACGAGGUGCUCCAACGCAGCACCGGCGGCCCGUCACAGCUCCGGCCAUGCUCCAUUACAGCAGCGACACCGGCACGAGGUGCUCCAACGCAGCGUGGACAGCCCGUCGCAGCUCCGGUGAUGCUUCAUUGCAGCCACGAUACCAGCGCGGGGUGCUCCAUCGCAGCUCCGACGGCCCGUCGCAGCUACGACAACGCUGCAUAG
This 411-nucleotide ribosomal RNA is filed under the name Triticum aestivum (bread wheat). RNAcentral describes it as "partial small subunit ribosomal RNA". The record is from RNAcentral. Lineage: Eukaryota; Viridiplantae; Streptophyta; Magnoliopsida; Poales; Poaceae.